ACACACACACACACACACUGGACACACACACACACACACUGGACACACACACACACACACUGGACACACACACACACACUGGACACACACACACACUGGACACACACACACACACACUGAACACACACACACACACACUGAACACAAACACACACUGAACACACACACACUGGCACACACACACACUGGACACACACACACACUGGACACACACACACACUGGACACACACACACACACUGGACACACACGUACACUGGACACACACACACAAAUACAUUCUGGACACACACACACACACAAACACAUCUGGACACACACACACUGGACACAUACACACACACUGGACACACACAAACACACACUGAACACACACACACACUCAACACACACACACUGAUCACAGACACUGGACACACAUACACUCACUGGACACACACACACACACUGGACACACACACACACACUGGACACACACACACUGAACACACACACACACACUGACACACACACACACACACUCUGAACACACACACACACACACCUGGACACACACACACUGAAACACACACACACACACACAAUGGACACACACACACACACACACACACACACACACACACACACACACACACACACACACACACACACACACACUGGACACACACACACACACACUGAAACACACACACACUGGACACAGCACACACACACUAGGCACACACACACACACUGGCCACCCACACACACUGGACAAACACCCAUACACACACACACUCACUCAAACGGACAUACAAACACACUGGAAACACACUGGACACACACACACACACUGGACACACACACACACACUGGACACACACACACACUGGACACACACAAACACACUGGACACACACACACACACACACACACACACACACACACACUGGACCCACUAGAUACACACACACACUCACUGGACACACACACUCACUGGACACACACACUCACUGGACACACACUGACACACACACUGACACACACACGCUUGACACACACACGCUUGAUACACACACACAAACACACUGGAUACACACACACAAACACACUGGAUACAGAUACACACACACACACACACACACACACACACACUGGAUACACACACACACACACACACACUGGAUACACACACACACACACACACUGGAUACACACACACAAACACACACUGGACACACACACACACACUGACACACAUACACACUGAAACACACACAAUUGACAAACACACACUGGAAGAUGACACGUGUUAAAUCAGUUUCUGGACCACAGGUUCUAGAACAGCUUCUAUCCCAGUUCUAUCUGCCUGUUAAAUCAGUUUCUGGACCACAGGUACUAGAACAGCUUCUAUCCCAGUUCUAUCUGCCUGUUAAAUCAGUUUCUGGACCACAGGUACUAGAACAGCUUCUAUCCCAGUUCUAUCUGCCUGUUAAAUCAGUUUCUGGACCACAGGUACUAGAACAGCUUCUAUCCCAGUUCUAUCUGCCUGUUAAAUCAGUUUCUGGACCACAGGUUCUAGAACAGCUUCUAUCCCAGUUCUAUCUGCCUGUUAAAUCAUCAACCUAGAAAAAGAAACGCACACCUUUAAAGGCGAGGUGCUGGCUAGCGGAGUAGAACACUAGAAAAUAAAGGAUAAGUUCAAGGAGAGGGGGUACAACAAUGAUCAGAUUAAUACUGCCAUUGAGAAAAUUCAAAACAAAACGAGACAUGACCUUUUUCAAGGUCAGUCUCGCAAAAAGACGCAUUCUUGCGUUCUCACUACCCGCUACUCAAAGUGCUCUGAACAAAUUAAAGGAAUCGUUCACAAACAUUGGCACAUUCUGAAAUAUGAUGAUAGUCUCGUUAAUGUGUUUUCUGACCUUCCCCUGGUCGUAUUCUCGCGGGGAAGAAAUCUCAGAGACCAAUUGGUACACUCUGAUUUACCACCCCAAGAUAUUCCUGAACAACGUCUAUUUGCGCCCAUACUGGAUGGAAAUUACAAGUGUAAUGGCUGUGCUCAAUGUAAUGGCACUUAUAAAUGUAGAUCCUUCAAACACCCCCAAACAGGGAAAUCUAUCCCAAUUAAAGGUGUUAUUACGUGUUCCACUAAGGCAGUUAUUUAUCUUAUCCUUGUCCUUGUGGUAAAAAUUAUGUGGGUAAAACAAAGCGUGAAUUAAAAGUACGUAUCUCAGAGCAUCGUAGCACCAUUAGGUGCAAAAACUUAACUUACCCAGUUGCGGCCCACUUUUGGAAGCAAACCAUCCGAUUUCGUCUCUGCGUUAUAUUGGUAUUGAACAUGUCACCCUCCCGAGGAGAGGGGUGACCUUGAUAAUUUAUUGUUGAAACGAGAGGCUGCCUGGAUCUUUAAUUUAAAGACCCUUGCUCCCUUCGGUCUCAACAUAGACUUUGAUCUGAAGCCAUUCUUGUGAUUAUUGUGAUUUUGCCAUUGUAAUUGUUUGUUAGAUACAUUUUAGACUACAAAUGCUAUGAUCGUAUGCUAUCCAUUUGUUUGUC
RNAcentral lists this long non-coding RNA (2534 nucleotides) under Salmo salar (Atlantic salmon). RNAcentral describes it as "lncRNA (ENSSSAG00000108817.1)". The record is from RNAcentral. Lineage: Eukaryota; Metazoa; Chordata; Actinopteri; Salmoniformes; Salmonidae.